Non-coding RNA from Maylandia zebra (zebra mbuna), 1113 nucleotides. NCBI's taxonomy places the organism in Eukaryota, Metazoa, Chordata, Actinopteri, Cichliformes, Cichlidae. The record is from RefSeq and is a predicted model, not a curated record.
AGAAGGACGAUGAAGGAAACAUCUGUGCGGUGUCUGCUCUACGGUGGUGGAUCUGCAGGAAGAACUGAGGACGUCCGUCAUAGACGAAUCAUCAUCAUCAGAGAGAAGAGAGAGAGUCCGAGCUGAGAGGUGGUCCAAUGUUUCUGGAUUACCCACAGCCCCCUCUGUCUGCAUAAAAGCAGUGCUGGAACACUGGUGUACCAUGGCCACGUGAGCAUCAGGGGAACAGCAUUGUCCUUGUUGCUAGAGAACAUGGUGAGAAAAAGUAAUUAACAAUGGAGGAGAGACAGACCGUCAUAACACUUAGAUGUAGGUCUUGUAGUCUGAUGAAUUAUAAUCUGAAAUCUUCGGUUCAUCACGCAGGAUCUGUGUACGCCAUCGAGUAGGCGAAAGAAUGGUUACACAGCAUUCUGCAGCGCCAUGCAGUACCCUCUGGUAAGCUUAAAAUAUGGAGUGGCCAGCACGGUCUCCAGACUUAAACCCCAUCAAGCUGGUUUGGGAUGAACUGGACCGAAGAGUGAAAGCAAAGCAACCUACAAGUGUCAAACAUUGUAGAAAGAACACCACGACUGUGUUCUGCUAUUAUAUCUGCCAAAGGUGGCUACUUUGAGAAGUUGAGAAUACAUUUGUCUUUAAAUUGAUUCUGAUUUCUUUUUUAACUCCAAUUGCUUAUUUGUACUGUGCUUUCAUUUUAGAGUACAAUGAGACAUUAAACUGGAUAAUUUCCAAUAAGCUCUGAUGAAGCUGGAUUGACUAAAGUUAUUGAUUGUGUCGUGUUUCCAUGUGUUCAGUAACUUUACUGUUAUUUGUAUUUUGUUUCUAAGUGCUGUCGUCUUCACAGCAGUGAUCUGGUUUCUCUGCAGUUUCAAUAAACUUUGGUCUCACUUGAUCUUCUGUUUGUUUCACAAAGAUGUCUGAUGGACAACCUGAGUUGUUGUGAUGAACCAAAAACACUUCAGUUUUCUUCAAAGCAGAUAAAGUUCAUGUGAGCCACAGACAGCAGGAACGAUUUCUCACAUGAAUCUUAGUUACUGUGAAGUUUGUCUGUUGACAGCAGAACUGAUUUGAUUGCAACUCAUUUAAUGGACAAAAUAAAUUUCAGGUACAGCUGCA